Molecule: ribosomal RNA, 301 nt
Filed under: uncultured bacterium
Lineage: Bacteria
Description: partial 16S ribosomal RNA
Rfam family: Bacterial small subunit ribosomal RNA
Source: RNAcentral
CAGUAGCCACGGUAAUACGAAGGGUGCAAGCGUUAAUCGGAAUUACUGGGCGUAAAGCGUGCGUAGGUGGUGGUUUAAGUCCGUUGUGAAAGCCCUGGGCUCAACCUGGGAAUUGCAGUGGAUACUGAUCACUAGAGUGUGGUAGAGGAUAGUGGAAUUUCCGGUGUAGCAGUGAAAUGCGUAGAGAUCGGAAGGAACAUCUGUGGCGAAGGCGACUAUCUGGGCCAACACUGACACUGAGGCACGAAAGCGUGGGGAGCAAACAGGAUUAGAUACCCGGGUAGUCCCUGUCUCUUAUACA